AUGCUUCGGCACCAAAGGGUGAUGGGAAUGCUGGGAUACGCACCUUCGUCUAAGCUCUUGUUUGUGUCUGGCUAUCAUCAGUAUCAUUACAGUGCUAAUCUGGGUGUGGUUGGCAGGAAGAGACUCAGCCCAGUGUACCCAAAACAAAGACUGGAGCAGCGAACCCAGAGCAUCAGCAACUUCAAAGCAGAAAUCUUUGCGGUUGAUGAGUUUACUUUAUUCAUGUCACUGCAAUGAUGUAUGAAGGUUUGGUUCCACAAAAACAAGGUAACUGUGACUUUAUAUCGUUUAAUCGCAUUUCAGGAUUGCGACUUAAUUUUUUUUAAAGAAAAUUAAUACUUUUAGUACUUUGAAGUUAGUAAGCGACAAAAAAUAUUUUAAAUGAAUGCUGUUAUUUUGAACAUCAAGGAAGUAUCAGUUUCCACAGAAAUAUUAAGCAGCACAUCUAUUUUCAACAUAUCAUAAUAAGAAAUGUUUUUGAGCAGCAAAUCAGGAUAUUAGAAUGAUUUCUGAAGUAUCAUGUGACUCUGAAUACUGGAGUAACGAUGCUGACAAUUCAGAUUUGCUAUCAGAGAAAUACAUUUUUCAAACAACUCACCUAUCAACUUCAUAUCCUGACAAUGUGAUAGCUAAUGAUAUACCAGCUGUGAGCACCUCUUUCCUUACCUCUUUGUGAUUGUUUUCAGUAUGAUACUACUAGAGGAUAAAAUAUAUUUCCCUCUGCUUUCAUUAAAAUAACAGUGAUAACACUGUAUCAACAUGAUAACAUUGACAUAUUGGAUGUUGUGUCACCCCAGGGAGGCAUGAAUCAGACAUCAUAACGUCCAGCUACAUGAGUCGUCUACCUUGGAAACCUGCCCUGAUGUAUCGCAAAUCAUCGGUCAUGGCGUUCACUUUCAUUUGUCUUCAUGAAAAUAGUUUAGACAUGAGUUCGCCAAACGGUUAUGAGGGCUUUAGAAUCAUCUAAAAGAUUUAGCACCACACAGAGAGAAAAUACCUUGAAAGAACAAUUUCAGUUUUUACCGAUCUACUAAAAUGACUUUUGGCAAACAGGGGUGUGCUGUUUUGCUGUGAGUUGUGAAAACAGUGUGUCACUGGUGGGGUCUGGCCAUGAUCUGACACGCUGGGGAACAACACAAGCCUCUGAACGUCAUAAUUGCAUUAGCUCUUAAUGGGUUGAAUUUUGCAAAUUACUUAUGGAACAAACGACAAAAUAAACAACGCAAGGUUCUUGGUGGUAAUAUUAGC
Long non-coding RNA from Cyprinus carpio (common carp), 1248 nucleotides. NCBI's taxonomy places the organism in Eukaryota, Metazoa, Chordata, Actinopteri, Cypriniformes, Cyprinidae. The record is from Ensembl.